RNAcentral lists this long non-coding RNA (628 nucleotides) under Prunus dulcis (almond). RNAcentral describes it as "sRNA ncRNA". Lineage: Eukaryota; Viridiplantae; Streptophyta; Magnoliopsida; Rosales; Rosaceae. The record is from RNAcentral.
AAAGCAUGAUGAUGUUGGAGUUUUGGGUCUUAUCCCGGAGCAAAAACUUACAGCUGCUUUGCGGAUGCUUGCUUAUGGGGCAUUUGCAGAGCAGGUGGAUGAGAUUGCAAGGAUGGGAAAAUCAACUAUCCUAGAGUGCUUGGUGAGAUUCUGUGAUGCAGUGAAAAAUUUGUACACGAGGGAGUACAUUUGCAAACCCACGCCGAGGGACCUGCAAAGGUUGCUACAAAAAGCAGAGGCUCGAGGUUUCCCAGGCAUGAUUGGAAGCAUUGAUUGCAUGCACUGGCAGUGGAAGAAUUGUCCUACUGCUUGGCAAGGAGAGUACGGGAAUCGAAAGGGCCAAAAAAGUAUAAUUUUGGAGGCCGUAGCUUCAUUCGACUGUUGGGUUUGGCAUGCCUUCUUCGGGGUUGACGGAUCUCAGAAUGACCUCAAUGUCCUUGGUCAAUCCCCAGUGUUCGACGAGGUAUUGCGAGGUCAUUCCCCCUAGAUCACGUACCAAAUCAACAAUACCGUAUACUCUGGUGCGUACUACCGUGCCGACAGAAUUUAUCCUAGGUGGACGACAUUCGUGAAAACAAUUCCGAAUCCCCAAUCCGAGAAGGAAAGAAGCUUUGCUUCAUUUCAAGAA